CCCUUAGAUGUUCUGGACCGCACGCGCGCUACACUGACGAAUGCAACGAGCUUAUAACCUUGGCCGAAAGGUCUGGGUAAUCUCCAAAUUUCGUCGUGAUGGGGAUAGAUUAUUGCAAUUAUUAAUCUUCAACGAGGAAUGCCUAGUAAGCGCAAGUCAUCAGCUUGCGUUGAUUACGUCCCUGCCCUUUGUACACACCGCCCGUCGCUCCUACCGAUUGAAUGGUCCGGUGAAGCGUUCGGACCGUGGCCUUUGGACGGUUCGCCGUCUGUUGGCUGCGGGAAGUUCGUUAAACCUUAUCAUUUAGAGGAAGGAGAAGUCGUAACA
Molecule: ribosomal RNA, 327 nt
Filed under: uncultured eukaryote
Lineage: Eukaryota
Description: partial 18S ribosomal RNA
Rfam family: Eukaryotic small subunit ribosomal RNA
Source: RNAcentral